Molecule: ribosomal RNA, 519 nt
Filed under: uncultured bacterium
Lineage: Bacteria
Description: bacterial SSU rRNA
Rfam family: Bacterial small subunit ribosomal RNA
Source: RNAcentral
AGCGAACGCUGGCGGCGUGCCUAACACAUGCAAGUCGAACGUGAAAGGGAGCAAUCCUGAGUAAAGUGGCGUACGGGUGAGUAACACGUAGGUAAUCUACCCCAGAAUCUGGAAUAACCUGCCGAAAGGCGGGCUAAUACUGGAUAGAGCGAAGAAGCUCGUAAUAGAGUUUUUCGGGAAAGGGAGCCUGUAAGGGCCCUCGUUUUGGGAUGAGCCUGCGUCUCAUUAGCUAGUUGGUGGGGUAAAAGCUCACCAAGGCGAUGAUGAGUAGCUGGUCUGAGAGGAUGAUCAGCCACACUGGAACUGAAACACGGUCCAGACUCCUACGGGAGGCAGCAGUGGGGAAACUUGCGCAAUGGACGAAAGUCUGACGCAGCCACGCCGCGUGAGUGAAGAAGGCCUUCGGGUUGUAAAGCUCUGUCGGGCGGGACGAAAAUUUAUUGGGUGAAUAGCCCAGUGAACUGACGGUACCGCCAAAGGAAGCACCGGCUAACUCCGUGCCAGCAGCCGCGGUAAAAC